Molecule: long non-coding RNA, 318 nt
Organism: Sander lucioperca (pikeperch)
Lineage: Eukaryota; Metazoa; Chordata; Actinopteri; Perciformes; Percidae
Exons: 2
Source: RefSeq, a predicted model, not a curated record
UUAUACAUGACAAUAUUAGCUAGCUGGUAGCUUGGGCAUGACGUUUUCUUGUGGUCUUUAAUAAAUUAUAGACAUAAGCUUAAAGUGAAUGGGAAAAUAAGGAAAUGUUGCAUUUGUUGCAUGAAUUAAACAGAAACACUUAUUAGAGCCUUGGCUUUAGUACUUUAUUUUGUUGCUUCUUUCAGAUAUAUAUAUAAAAAAAAAAAAUGUACGCAGUAUAACAUGAAAGUCAGGCUACACACAACAAUGUGGUGUAAGUAGAAAAAAAAAAAAGUCAAUAAUCAAAGAAGUUCACAAAGUUAGAAUGAUGAAAAAAAA